RNA transcript from Magnolia sinica, 2212 nucleotides. It is a transcript of the gene named heterogeneous nuclear ribonucleoprotein 1-like, with no coding region annotated. NCBI's taxonomy places the organism in Eukaryota, Viridiplantae, Streptophyta, Magnoliopsida, Magnoliales, Magnoliaceae. The record is from RefSeq and is a predicted model, not a curated record. The transcript is spliced from 3 exons.
CCUUCUCCCCCACACUCUCAAGACAUCCAAACCGUCCAAUCCGCCGCAUCUCAUCCGUCCAAUAUAUAUAUAUUUUUUCUUUUUUCUCUCUCCUCGUCCUUUGAGCGUGAUCAGAUAGAAAGAUUGGAUAUUUCUCUCCCAGCCCCAAGUCGCCUUUCCUCGGCCCAAACCCUCGCCCCUUCUCUUUUCUUCAGAGAAGAACCCCGAAGAGAGAGAGAGAGAGAGAGAGAUGGAUUCAGAUCAAGGGAAACUAUUCAUAGGGGGGAUUUCAUGGGAGACGUCGGAGGACAAUCUGAAGGAGUAUUUUGGGAAGUAUGGGGAGGUGUUGCAGACGGUUAUAAUGAAGGAUAAGGCGACUGGUAGGCCCAGGGGUUUUGGUUUCGUUGUAUUUUCAGAUCCCUCCGUUCUUGAUCAUGUUCUUCAGGACAAGCACACCAUUGAUGGAAGGACGGUGGAGGCUAAAAGGGCUUUGUCAAGAGAAGAACAGCACACCUCUCGAUCUGGAAACCCCAAUGCAGGGAGAAAUGUUCCAGGUGGUGGCAAUAUUAAGACCAAGAAGAUAUUCGUUGGAGGGCUACCUCCCACUUUAACAGAAGAAGGAUUCCGUCAAUAUUUUGAGAAUUACGGCCAUGUAACUGAUGUAGUAGUAAUGUAUGAUCAGACCACCCAACGUCCUCGUGGAUUCGGUUUUAUCUCCUUUGAUACUGAGGAUGCUGUAGAUAGAGUUCUACACAAGUCCUUCCAUGAGUUGAAUGGAAAACUUGUGGAAGUCAAACGUGCUCUUCCAAAAGAUGCAAAUCCUGGCAGUGGUGGCCGCUCUACUGGUAGUGGGGGCUAUCAGGGCUAUGGUGGUUCUGGUGUCAACACCAGCUCAUAUGAUGGUAAUGCUAAUAGGUACAUGCAGCCUCAGGCGUCUGGAGGUGGUUUUCCGGCAUAUGGUUCUUCCGCCUAUGGUACACCUGGCUAUGGAUAUGGUGCAGCAAGUAAUGGCGUUGGUUAUGGUGGUUAUGGCGUUGGUGGCUAUGGUAGUGCUAAUGCUGGGUAUGGAGGCCCUGCCGGGGCCUAUGGAAAUGCUCCUAAUCCGGGUUAUGUUAGUGGCCCACCUGGUGCCCCAAGAAGCCCAUGGAACAAUCAAGCUUCUUCUGGAUAUGGUUCUGCUGGCUAUGGUGCAAAUACAGGGUAUGGAGCUGCAGGUUGGAAUGGUCCUGGUUCAGCUGUUGCUGGUAGUGCUGGGACUGUUCCUGCACAAUCAGGCCAAUCUCCAGGUGGGGCCACGGGUUAUGGGAACCAGGGAUACGGCUAUGGUGGUUAUGGUGGGAACGAGGGGUAUGCUAAUCCUAGCAGCUAUGGUGCUGUAGGGGGGCGUGCUUCAAGCACCCCAAAUGCUAAUGCUGGUGGUGGUGGGGGAGACCAACAGGGGGCAGGUACUGGUUACAUGGGCAGUGGCUAUGGUGAUGCCAAUGGGAAUUCUGGCUAUAUGAACGCAGGAUGGAGGGGUGAUGGCUAUGGUGCCGCCCAGGCAAAUGGUGGUUAUGGUGGUGGCUACGGAGGUGCUCAGUCCAGGCAGGCUCAACAGUAGUGAAAUGCAGCUGCUUGCGACGUCAACUGGGUAUUUCUUAUUUUGAGGAAUCUUCCUUUUCUUACUCCCGAAAUCUGGUUCGGAUCGUUGUCUCGCUCGUGGAGGGAUAGCUUGUGCAGAUGAAAGCGGAUUUUGGGACUGGUUGGAUUGCUUGAAUCCCAGUAGUUAGCAGUGGAGAUGCCGCUUUCUAGAUUGGAAUCAGAUGUAUACCCGCGCCAAUUUUGAAGUUUUUAAAUGGGGGCGGGCAUGAAAAACUGUUGGAGGGAUCUGAUUCAUUCGAUUGCUAACCGAGGCCAUGGGGGGGAAUGCUGCUGAACUCAAGAUACUCUGAGCCCAGUUCAUGUUCUUUUGGUUGGUAUGGUUGCUUGUGUUCCACCUGCAUGGUAUGUCAGACAGUUGUAUGCAGGAGUUAUUUUGUCAUCUGUUCAUUAGCAAUUGACUAUCCGGGAAAAAAAAAUGUCAUCUGUUCAUUUGGAGAUUUAUCUGUUGCUUUUUUAUUAAGCCUGCAAAAACAAACUAUAUCCUGAGACGUGUUCAUUAGAAAAUUUUAGAAGUAAUCCUGUUGGCGCAUAACUGAAUAGAUAUGCUUUUUAGGUUCUUUUAAUUACAUAAUUGUAGUUUGAGUUUUGAUGA